AACGAACGCUGGCGGCAGGCUUAACACAUGCAAGUCGAACGCUCCGCAAGGAGAGUGGCGGACGGGUGAGUAACACGUGGGAACGUACCCUUUACUACGGAACAACUCCGGGAAACUGGAGCUAAUACCGUAUGUGCCCUUCGGGGGAAAGAUUUAUCGGUAAAGGAUCGGCCCGCGUUGGAUUAGCUAGUUGGUGGGGUAAAGGCCUACCAAGGCGACAAUCCAUAGCUGGUCUGAGAGGAUGAUCAGCCACAUUGGGACUGAGACACGGCCCAAACUCCUACGGGAGGCAGCAGUGGGGAAUAUUGGACAAUGGGCGCAAGCCUGAUCCAGCCAUGCCGCGUGUGUGAUGAAGGCCUUAGGGUUGUAAAGCACUUUCACCGGAGAAGAUAAUGACGGUACCCGCAGAAGAAGCCCCGGCUAACUUCGUGCCAGCCGCCGCGGUAA
RNAcentral lists this ribosomal RNA (447 nucleotides) under uncultured bacterium. RNAcentral describes it as "partial 16S ribosomal RNA". It matches the Rfam family "Bacterial small subunit ribosomal RNA", at positions 29 to 523 of the family's 1533-position model. The record is from RNAcentral.